ACUAUCAUGGGAUGCUGAACCGUUGCCCGUGGUCGGUCACUUGGGUGACGGCGAGCCAACAGUGAGACCGACCUUAAGUAGG
This 82-nucleotide non-coding RNA is filed under the name unclassified sequences. RNAcentral describes it as "c-di-GMP sequence". It matches the Rfam family "c-di-GMP-II-GAG riboswitch aptamer". The record is from Rfam by way of RNAcentral.